UAAGGAAUAUUGGACAAUGGGCGCAAGCCUGAUCCAGCCAUGCCGCGUGAAGGAUGAAGGCCCUAUGGGUCGUAAACUUCUUUUAUACGGGACAAAACCCCCCGACGUGUCGGGGGUUGAUGGUACUGUAAGAAUAAGGGUCGGCUAACUUCGUGCCAGCAGCCGCGGUAAUACGAAGGACCCAAGCGUUAUCCGGAUUUAUUGGGUUUAAAGGGUGCGUAGGCGGAUUUGUAAGUCAGUGGUGAAAGCCCGUCGCUUAACGGCGGAACUGCCAUUGAUACUGCAAGUCUUGAGUAUGGUUGAGGUGGGCGGAAUGUGUCAUGUAGCGGUGAAAUGCUUAGAUAUGACACAGAACACCGAUUGCGAAGGCAGCUCGCUAAGCCAUAACUGACGCUGAGGCACGAAAGCGUGGGGAGCAAACA
Molecule: ribosomal RNA, 422 nt
Filed under: uncultured bacterium
Lineage: Bacteria
Description: bacterial SSU rRNA
Rfam family: Bacterial small subunit ribosomal RNA
Source: RNAcentral